Non-coding RNA from Pelobates cultripes (western spadefoot toad), 1736 nucleotides. Lineage: Eukaryota; Metazoa; Chordata; Amphibia; Anura; Pelobatidae. The record is from the annotation of a GenBank genome assembly.
AGACACUAAAAUAAUCUACAAUGGUAUUAGACACGUAAUGCUAAUAUGUGAACCAGUGAUACAAAAAAUAAAUUGUGCGGAAAAUGUGCAAGUGCUGCAAACGGUAGGGGUCUUAUCAAGCCUGCCUAAUAUGUCUUCAGUAUAGCUAUUUAGACAAGUGUCCAAAUUGUAUUUAUUUUUUGUAUCACUGGUUCACAUAUUAGUAUUACGUGUCUAAUACCAUUGUAGAUUAUUUUAGUGUCUAAAAACAUUGAAGACUAUUUUUAACAAUUGUAACCUUAUAUCCUUAUGUUGAGUUAUUUACUUUUUGUAUGGGUAAACCUUUGGCCGGUGUUUGAGAGUUAGUAUCUGGGCGCGACUUAGGUUCUCUUUUUCAAUAUACCUGCUUUAAGGAUUUUUUUUCUUUUCAUAUAAUACUGAAUGGAGGGUUAAUGAGUCUUUAGGGUUUCAAAGAAAACCCCUUUCUGUCUCAUUGGAGAUUUUGCCUUUAAGUUGAAAGCAGAAAGGUGACCUGCUGACACUUUGAUGUCCAAUGCGGUGGUGUUAAAAAUCUGUUAUUUAAGUUUCUACUUUUGUAACAUCUAUUACAUUUUACAACUAACUGAUGCCCAAGCCCAAAAGUGCAGAAGAAUUCCAUUUAGGGGUUUGUGCUUAUCCCAUAAAAUAUCUUUGAGAUUUGGGAAAUUUACUAAAAAGUGCUUUCAGAUCAUAAACAAAAUGUGUAUUGUGUCAAUAUUCUUCUUUAUUUGGUUACAAAAGCACAACUAGUAUAGUAUUUGAAUGAACUAGGUAUGUUUAUAUACAUUUUAUCAGUUGAUAGUUUGUUUUUCUUAUUAAUAUUAGUUUUAGUUGCACAAUUUAGGAUAACCUUCAACAUUCCAUUUCAUAUUCCACUUUGAUUAAAAAUGGGUGUAGGCCUGGUUUAUUGGAUAUAUUUUUCUUUAAAAGUUACCAUUGUUGAUUCAGAAUUCGCAGAUCACCAUAAAUGGUCAUAGCCAGCCCUUGCAAUAUCCUGCACCCCACUAUUGCUGAACCCAAAGGCAUUACACUUACAUACAUUUUCACAAACAAGACUCAUUAGCAAUGUAAAAGUACAGAAUGAGGUCAAAUAGCAGGAAUUUCAUGGAAACAGAACUGAGGACAUCAUCUGCUCGUUAACGACUAAUUUGAUCUUUUUUUGAAUUUAUGGAUGUGUCCAGUAGGCCCCAUCCCCAGUUUUUUUUAAUUUUUUUUAAAUACUCUUGUGUAUCACGUAGUCAUACAAUAAAAAUCAGCUUUACACAAAGGACAAAUAGUAGAUAAUGCAAUACCAUAUCUCAUUUCUAUUAUAGUUACAAUCACAGGCUACUGCAGAUAGCAUGCUGUUAUUGAAUAACAUUCGCUUAUUAAUUAAGAAUCCACAAAUGACAUGGUGCUGUUAAAAAAAAACAGAAUUCCAGUUACAAUGUCCUCAACGCUCUUUAUUUUUCCACGAACCAUAAUUCUAGAAUGGUUUCAAAAUGAUUUACCAAUUUAACCUCCAGAUUUUCAUUAUGCCUACGCUGUCAAUAUAUUCGAAAAGAAUAAAAUUCAAUUUGUAAUUGCAUUUGGAAAUAAUUGUAAAAUGUUGUUGUACACAUUAUUGAACCUGUAAGAAGCAUUUAUUUUAGGGGCAAAUAUAUCGAUGUUUUUCACUUCACAAAUUCUCUGUUUUUGUUUAUUUUCUCUAAUAUUGUAUGUAAAUAUAAUGAAUGGAC